RNAcentral lists this ribosomal RNA (900 nucleotides) under uncultured archaeon. Its description in RNAcentral is "bacterial SSU rRNA". It matches the Rfam family "Archaeal small subunit ribosomal RNA", at positions 16 to 922 of the family's 1478-position model. The record is from RNAcentral.
GCCGGACCUGACUGCUAUCGGAUUGAUACUAAGCCAUGCGAGUCAUUGUAGUAAUACAAGGCAUACGGCUCAGUAACGCGUAGUCAACCUAACCUAUGGACGGGAAUAACCUCGGGAAACUGAGUAUAAUGCCCGAUAGAACAUUAUGCCUGGAAUGGUUUAUGUUCCAAAUGAUUUAUCGCCGUAGGAUGGGACUGCGGCCUAUCAGUUUGUUGGUGAGGUAAUGGCCCACCAAGACUAUUACAGGUACGGGCUCUGAGAGGAGUAGCCCGGAGAUGGGUACUGAGACACGGACCCAGGCCCUAUGGGGCGCAGCAGGCGAGAAAACUUUGCAAUGUGCGAAAGCACGACAAGGUUAAUCCGAGUGGUUUCUGCUAAAGGAACCUUUUGUUAGUCCUAGAAACACUAACGAAUAAGGGGUGGGCAAGUUCUGGUGUCAGCCGCCGCGGUAAAACCAGCACCUCAAGUGGUCAGGAUGAUUAUUGGGCCUAAAGCAUCCGUAGCCGGCUCUGUAAGUUUUCGGUUAAAUCUGUACGCUCAACGUACAGGCUGCCGGGAAUACUGCAGAACUAGGGAGUGGGAGAGGUAGACGGUACUCGGUAGGAAGUGGUAAAAUGCUUUGAUCUAUCGAUGACCACCUGUGGCGAAGGCGGUCUACCAGAACAUGUCCGACGGUGGGGGAUGAAAGCUGGGGGAGCAAACCGGAUUAGAUACCCGGGUAGUCCCAGCUGUAAACUAUGCAAACUCAGUGAUGCAUUGGCUUGUGGCCAAUGCAGUGCUGCAGGGAAGCCGUUAAGUUUGCCGCCUGGGAAGUACGUACGCAAGUAUGAAACUUAAAGGAAUUGGCGGGGGAGCACCACAAGGGGUGAAGCCUGCGGUUCAAUUGGAUUCAACGCCGGG